GGGGGAGUACACACUGUAUUCUCAUUCACCAUAAAGUUACUGAGGAGUAAACAAUACAGCGUGUAUGUUUCAUUUGCCGUCUCCCUUUACAGGUUGACAAUUUGGCGAGCCGAGCCAGGAGCCAAACAGUUGGCAGUCCAGGAUCCGGUGUAAGAGAUCAGCGGGCAGGUACGAGCGGGUUGAGACGGAAGGGCCCUCCAAGAGAUUUUUCUCGGUCUCUCUCUCCCUCUCUGACUCCUCGUUCCAACUCCUUCAGCUCUGGCUGACCAUCUUACGGCCUCCACUGACAAAACGGAGAACCUCAGUUGGGAGACACGGAUAACAGUUUCUACACACUCAGGUGAAGGAAGCCUCAAGACCUGUUCCUGACAGAGAAGGCGAGUGGCAGGGAGCAGAACCAGGAGAUUGGGUGUUAAUAAGGAACUGGGCUCGACCCAAGCUGGAACCCCGGUGGAAAGGACCGUACUAGGACCUCCUGCAGACCCCCUCUGCUGUCAAGGUGAAGGGACAAGAACGUUGGAUUCAUCUGAGCGACUGCAAGCGCUGGACCCCAGACCGCUAGAAACUACAGAUAAAUGAAGGGACUGAUAAACGGACUUGAUUGGACUGUCGUGUGUUUAAAUUCCUUUUUCCUUGUGGUGCCACAUCCUUGAAACUGCACUCUGGUAAUGGAAGGUAGGAUGCUGUUGGUUAUCUAUAUUCUUUUAGCGAUAGUAGGGUAUAGGGCAAAGGUCGAGAGACGGGUCUAUCGAUGCCACGGGGAAGAACAGUAGAGUAUACCACCUUUGCAGCCAGGAUGUCCUGGUCUGCAACGAUGAUGAAGGCCAGUUGGGGAAAUGGAAUGUAACCAGGGUUAAUUAUUGUACUGGGAGACUUACACACCCGGACCGUCAACUGGUCCUAGGCGAAAGGAACUAUUGAACCCCUCCCUGUGGGGACCAGAAUUGCAGGUUUGACUUUACUUGCAAGAGAAAUCGGGCACAGGGUCGAUUAAGGGGCCUGUUACACAAGGGGAAGUGUUUGCGGGAAGCUCUGGACGAGGAAGGCGGAAAAGGGAUUGGAGUUUCCCCAAAGGCCCCACCCUUGGAAGACCUCCCUCAGGGUUUAUCAGUGAGAACUAUUUCCAAAACGUGCAGAAACGACUGUAUGGAACCACGACCAUCGUUUGCUAUCCCCACCCCGCUGGUGUCUCCUCGCUCUUUACCAUUUUCCCACACAGGGAUUGUGCGGAUCAACUCUUCCGAUGUGCCCCCGCCAGCGAAACAUUGCCCGAGGGAAAGAGGGUGGAACUCACCUAUGACUCUUCCACGGCCCCUGUCGCGGACUGCCUAUUUCCCCCGUCCAUCAGUAAACGGUCAAAUCGACUCCUCCCGCGGAUGAAAGAAGAUUUCUGGUGGGAGGGGAAUCCCAAGCCCCCGAAGGGUGACUGAGUAUAUGAGAACUGCUACUUCGGAACAGGGUGGGGAUGUUCAGACGUGAAUGUCUCGAAUGACGUCACCUGCCUCUCCAAGCCCUGUAGGGAAAGGGAGUGUCACCCCACCAAGGACCCCUUAGGGAUCUCUUGCUCUUGCCAUGAGACAAGUGCCAGUCCCUGGCCCAGGGGGUGCAACUUCUUUGUGGGGAGGGGAACCACACCCAACUCCGGGUCAAUGAUCAUGUAUUCCUACGACCUGAAUAUCAUAGGGGUACCAAACGAGUGUACGCCUCUGCCGGUAUAGGAGAAUGGAGUGAUGCCAUACACCUAAAGGGUAAGGGUUGCACUGAGACUAUGUAUACCCUCCAUUGCUAUAACGGCAUUGCCACCAACUUCCUGGAGUACCCAUUCCCUUCCUCGGUGGCCUAUGGCACCUUCCUCCCCACGGCGGUCCCUUGCCCUGGGUCUUGGGGCCCCCGUCCCGCCCGUCUGGGAGGUACAAGAGAGAGGUCUCCUAAGAAUUUUGUGCAGAUUACCAAGUCCUGACCACCCUAACCGCAGGUCAGGUGGCCGGAUACGGGGCAGCUGGCUUUUUCUCUUUGGGAGCAUCAGGAGCCACUAUGGCGGCCCACAAUCUGAACUAUCUGGCCUGUGGUCUCAUGAGCCUUGGGAACGCCAGCAGGGGAGCAUUAAGACUCAUAACUGACAGCCUUAACCAACUGAGGCUCUUCUCCAUGCAAAACCGCUAUACACUUGAUUACCUCCUUGCCAGGGAGGGUGGGCUCUGCUAACGUAAAGGACAAAUGCAUAAUGGGGCUAGACGAUGCUACUGCCAACAUAACGCAGUAUAUGAACAAAACAGAUGAACAGUUAGGAUCCAUUAAGGAAGGAACAGGUUGGGCAGGAUGGGGGGUACUGGGGACUAAGUGCAUGGAGGGACUGGUUGAUCAAUGGGCUGACAGCUAUUAUAGGGAUUUUUGUCUGUAUCGCCAUUGUCAAAUGUGUCCUGAACACAUGAUGGCCUUGUUAGGGGACCUGCUGCCGGCUAAGCCACUGAUGGUAGUAUGAGCAACGUCAAGGCCACCGAGCUCCUCGAAACUGCACCAGAGGAUUUUCACGAUAUUGAUGAGUGAUCAUUUCAUGAUCACAGGAGGGAAUGAGGGUAAGGGGUAUUUGUAGAAGGGGUGGGCGAGGGGUAAGUGUAGCAAAAUAUGUAGACAGGGCCAGGGAGAGGAUACGUCAUUGGGGAAGUGUAGGAGGACAGGGAAGAGGUAACUAAAAUAAGAUGCCAGACAGCAUGUGGCAACCACAAAGAGGAACCUUGCGACCACAAGACAAUGUGUUCGGCAAAGUAUUUUGAGCUAUAUACCUAUUUCGAGAGUUUUGCUUGCGUCCAUACCUAUUCCAAGUAUUACGCUUGCGUCUAUGCUUAUUCCGAGUAUUUCACGUGCUUAGCUAUGCAAUAGCCAAUCAAUUGAUGAAUUUGAAUCGGUAACCAUAUUUGUGAAUGUAGUACCCUGCUUUUGGGUAUACGUAUGACCUUUGUAAACUGACAAAUUGGGAGUUGGCUACCUUACGCCCGAAGUGCGUGGGGCUGCGAACUCCUCUCUGAA
This is a long non-coding RNA of Hypanus sabinus (Atlantic stingray), 3027 nucleotides long. RefSeq lists it as uncharacterized. The transcript has 3 exons. NCBI's taxonomy places the organism in Eukaryota, Metazoa, Chordata, Chondrichthyes, Myliobatiformes, Dasyatidae. The record is from RefSeq and is a predicted model, not a curated record.